GGUUAUUUAGUGAAUAUUGGCAUCACGAUGAAAUUUCAAUUCAUAAAACAUAUAACU
RNAcentral lists this transfer RNA (57 nucleotides) under Trichuris discolor. Its description in RNAcentral is "tRNA-Glu". Lineage: Eukaryota; Metazoa; Nematoda; Enoplea; Trichinellida; Trichuridae. The record is from RNAcentral.